This is a long non-coding RNA of Lytechinus variegatus (green sea urchin), 789 nucleotides long. RefSeq lists it as uncharacterized. The record is from RefSeq and is a predicted model, not a curated record. The transcript is spliced from 3 exons. NCBI's taxonomy places the organism in Eukaryota, Metazoa, Echinodermata, Echinoidea, Temnopleuroida, Toxopneustidae.
GCCCUGUUGCAUAAAAAUUUAUGUCAUAAUGACAUAAAUUUCGAUCAUGACAUAAAAUCAUGCAUAGCUUAUGUCGUUGACAUAAAUUUCGUUGCAUAAAAAUAUUUAUGUAUUGUUUUAGCUUAUGUCAAGUUAUCACGCGAUAUACAUAAACUGAAUAGUCAUGAACGAGCCUGUUGACAUAAACUUGGCAUAAGUUGUCAUUUUUCAGCCGCAGGAAGCUCUUGCGAAAAAGGGGUCUUCGGCUUCCUAUUUGGACGGGAAAGAGGCAUAUUUUGGUGACCCACACAAACGGUGAGAAGAGGUAAAGAGAGAAAGGGGCACAGCAACUGGAAGGAGAGGGAAGUCCAGACACUCUACCACUGUCUGCGAUUGAAUAAGAAAUUUCUCUUUGGAUCAGGGGGUCAAGCUUCUAGUAUGAAGAUUGUUCAAGAGUCAAGACUGUUGAAGAGGUGACGUCAUGGACCUGAUAGCACCUGGCAAGGGAACUAUAUUACUGUUCAUAAAUCUAUUACUCAAGUAUCCUAAAAACGCUUUAAAAAUUUGAACAUUAACAAAAGUUCUAUUUUACAAAGAUAAUAAUCAUUAUAUUGACAUUGUGAAUAUAUUUUAUGAUUAUCAUAAAAUUAUUAUAAUGUAAAUGAUGAUAGGUCAUACUAAUACAACUGAACAACAAGUAGAAAAGAAGACAACCAAGAAGGAGGAGAAGAAGAAAAAGAAGAGGGGUGGAAGAGGAGAAAAGGAGAAGAAGAAUAAAUUACAACACUGUGAGUUCCUCUUCAUGAUAUU